RNAcentral lists this small RNA (1959 nucleotides) under Pan troglodytes (chimpanzee). Its description in RNAcentral is "retained intron". The record is from RNAcentral. Lineage: Eukaryota; Metazoa; Chordata; Mammalia; Primates; Hominidae.
UAGGUGCUCAGGUUCAGGGCUUCGACGGGGAUGGUUUUGGAACUCGGGAGCCCUGAGCUUCCCCCUCCUCUGUCCCCUAGGACAUCCUGAACCACGUGUUCGACGACGUAGAGAGCUUUGUAUCGAGGCUGCAGAAGUCGGCGGAGGCGGCCAGGGUGCUGGAGCACAGGGAACGCGGCCGCAGGACCCGGCGCCGGGCGGCUGGGGAGGGCCUGCUGACGCUGCGGGCCAAGCCGCCCUCGGAGGCCGAGUACACCGACGUGCUGCAGAAGAUCAAGUACGCCUUCAGCCUGCUGGUGAGGACGCGUCCGCCCCUGGGCCGGGGCGCGGGCACGGCGAACUUGCCCCGUCCCCGCACCCACGCCAACCACCUCCCUCCCCACGCCCCAGGCCCGGCUGCGCGGCAACAUCGCCGACCCCUCCUCUCCGGAGCUGUUGCACUUCCUUUUCGGGCCUCUGCAGAUGAUUGUGAACACGUCGGGGGGGCCGGAGUUCGCGAGCAGUGUUAGGCGGCCGCACCUGACGUCGGAUGCCGUGGCGCUGCUGCGGGACAACGUCACUCCACGUGAAAACGAGCUCUGGACCUCGUUGGGGGACUCGUGGACCCGCCCCGGGCUGGAGCUGCCCCCGGAAGAGGGACCCCCAUACAGACCCGAGUUCUUCAGCGGCUGGGAGCCGCCGGUCACUGACCCGCAGAGCCGCGCCUGGGAGGACCCAGUUGAGAAACAGCUACAGCACGAGCGGAGGCGCUGGCAGGUGACCCAAGCGACACAGCAGGGCCGAGGCUGGGAAGUCCGGGGGCGCGGCCGGUCCGCCUGGCCCCGCCUGACCCGACUCUCUUACUUCCUACAGCAAAGCGCCCCCCAGGUCGCUGUCAAUGGUCACCAAGACUUGGAGCCAGAAUCUGAGCCUCAGCUGGAGUCAGAGACAGCAGGAAAAUGGGUCCUGUGUAAUUAUGACUUCCAGGCCCGCAACAGCAGUGAGCUGUCGGUCAAGCAGCGGGACGUACUGGAGGUCCUGGAUGACAGUCGUAAGUGGUGGAAGGUUCGGGACCCAGCGGGGCAGGAGGGAUAUGUGCCCUACAACAUCCUGACACCCCACCCCGGACCCCGGCUGCACCACAGCCAAAGCCCUGCCCGCAGCCUGAACAGCACUCCUCCUCCGCCACCAGCCCCAGCCCCGGCCCCACCUCCAGCUCCGGCUCGGCCCCGCUGGGACAGCUGCGAUAGCCUCAACGGCUUGGACCCCAGCGAGAAGGAGAAAUUCUCCCAGAUGCUCAUCGUCAACGAGGAACUGCAGGCGCGCCUGGCCCAGGGCCGCUCGGGUCCGAGCCGCACAGUCCCAGGGCUCCGCGCCCCGGAACCGCAGCUCAGCCCGGGCUCGGACGCCUCCGAGGUCCGCGCCUGGCUGCAGGCCAAGGGCUUUAGCUCCGGGACCGUGGACGCGCUGGGUGUGCUGACCGGGGCGCAGCUUUUCUCGCUGCAGAAGGAGGAGCUGCGGGCGGUGAGCCCCGAGGAGGGGGCACGUGUGUACAGCCAGGUCACCGUGCAGCGCGCGCUGCUGGAGGACAAAGAGAAAGUGUCAGAGCUGGAGGCAGUGAUGGAGAAGCAAAAGAAGAAGGUGGAAGGCGAGGUGGAAAUGGAGGUCAUUUGACCUGCCAGGCGCCCUUCGCAGAGUGACGAGGCCCCGUGGGAGAACGGACUCUUCAGACUCUCCCCAAUAGCGGAAGUCGAUCUUCUGAAGGAUGGCCAAUCUGCUCCGGCCCUGGUCUUCCCCCAUCCCGGUGGACAGACUUAACGAUCCUUGCUGCAGUCCCUCCGGAGAGGAUCUGGACUGGCUGGGAGUGGGGAGGGCGUGGAGACAGUCUACGGAAAGCGCUAGCAGACCCCCGAGAGGGUGCAGUGGAGCCCUGAGCAUUGUAAUAUGCCGCCCAGCCUAUAAACAGCCUCCUUGCUGAGC